AUUGAACGCUGGCGGCAUGCUUUACACAUGCAAGUCGAACGGCAGCGCGGGCUUCGGCCUGGCGGCGAGUGGCGAACGGGUGAGUAAUGCAUCGGAACGUGCCCAGCAGUGGGGGAUAGCACGGCGAAAGCAGGAUUAAUACCGCAUACGACCUGAGGGUGAAAGCGGGGGACCGAAAGGCCUCGCGCUAUUGGAGCGGCCGUUGUCGGAUUAGCUAGUUGGUGGGGUAAAGGCUUACCAAGGCGACGAUCCGUAGCUGGUCUGAGAGGACGACCAGCCACACUGGGCCUGGAACGCGUCCCAGGCUCCUACGGGAGGCAGCGGUGGGGAAUUUUGGACAAUGGGGGCAACCCUGCUCCAGCCACGCCGCGUGCGGGAAGAAGGCCUUCGGGUUGUAAACCGCUUUUGUUCGGGAAGAAAUCCUCUGGGCUAAGAGCCCGGAGGGAGGACGGUACCGGAAGAAUAGGCACCGGCUACCUACGG
Molecule: ribosomal RNA, 483 nt
Filed under: uncultured bacterium
Lineage: Bacteria
Description: partial 16S ribosomal RNA
Rfam family: Bacterial small subunit ribosomal RNA
Source: RNAcentral